This 164-nucleotide small RNA is filed under the name pig gut metagenome. RNAcentral's name for it is "Clostridiales-1 RNA". It matches the Rfam family "Clostridiales-1 RNA". The record is from RNAcentral.
GAUAUAAGGGCCAAAAGUAAAAAUUGCGAUUGUGCUUGCACAAAAGAGCACUUUUUACUUAUUGGCGCGACCACACAUGAGCAAGUAGUGAUUUUCCUUAGAAAAUCCACGGAUUGCGAAUGUGUGUAGAAUUGCGUAAGUUGCAUUGCAACGAGGCAAUUCGU